This 240-nucleotide ribosomal RNA is filed under the name Bacillus cereus. RNAcentral's name for it is "partial 16S ribosomal RNA". It matches the Rfam family "Bacterial small subunit ribosomal RNA", at positions 1287 to 1526 of the family's 1533-position model. The record is from RNAcentral. Lineage: Bacteria; Bacillati; Bacillota; Bacilli; Caryophanales; Bacillaceae.
CUCAGUUCGGAUUGUAGGCUGCAACUCGCCUACAUGAAGCUGGAAUCGCUAGUAAUCGCGGAUCAGCAUGCCGCGGUGAAUACGUUCCCGGGCCUUGUACACACCGCCCGUCACACCACGAGAGUUUGUAACACCCGAAGUCGGUGAGGUAACCUUUUGGAGCCAGCCGCCUAAGGUGGGACAGAUGAUUGGGGUGAAGUCGUAACAAGGUAGCCGUAUCGGAAGGUGCGGUUGGAUCAC